RNAcentral lists this ribosomal RNA (356 nucleotides) under uncultured bacterium. RNAcentral describes it as "bacterial SSU rRNA". It matches the Rfam family "Bacterial small subunit ribosomal RNA", at positions 124 to 510 of the family's 1533-position model. The record is from RNAcentral.
AUCUACCUCUUUGUGGGGAAUAACCCUGGGAAACCGGGGCUAAUACCGCAUAAGCCUGAGAAGGGAAAGCGAGCAAUCGCGCAGAGAGAGGAGCCCGCGGCCGAUUAGCUAGUUGGUGAGGUAAUGGCUCACCAAGGCGGUGAUCGGUAGCCGGCCUGAGAGGGCACACGGCCACACUGGCACUGAAACACGGGCCAGACUCCUACGGAAGGCAGCAGUGGGGAAUCUUGCACAAUGGAGGCAACUCUGAUGCAGCGACGCCGCGUGAACGAUGAAGCCCUUCGGGGUGUAAAGUUCUUUCGGCAGGGACGAUAAUGACGGUACCUGAAGAAGAAGCUGCGGCUAACUACGUGCCA